GAUGAACGCUGGCGGCGUGCCUAAUACAUGCGAGUCGAGCGAACGGACGAGAAGCUUGCUUCUCUGAUGUUAGCGGCGGACGGGUGAGUAACACGUGGAUAACCUACCUAUAAGACUGGGUUAACUUCGGGAAACCGGAGCUAAUACCGGAUGAUAUUUUGAACCGCAUGGUUCAAAAGUGAAAGACGGUCUUGCUGUCACUUAUAGAUGGAUCCGCGCUGCAUUAGCUAGUUGGUAAGGUAACGGCUUACCAAGGCAACGAUGCAUAGCCGACCUGAGAGGGUGAUCGGCCACACUGGAACUGAGACACGGUCCAGACUCCUACGGGAGGCAGCAGUAGGGAAUCUUCCGCAAUGGGCGAAAGCCUGACGGAGCAACGCCGCGUGAGUGAUGAAGGUCUUCGGAUCGUAAAACUCUGUUAUUAGGGAAGAACAUAUGUGUAAGUAACUGUGCACAUCUUGACGGUACCUAAUCAGAAAGCCACGGCUAACUACGUG
This 497-nucleotide ribosomal RNA is filed under the name uncultured bacterium. RNAcentral describes it as "partial 16S ribosomal RNA". It matches the Rfam family "Bacterial small subunit ribosomal RNA", at positions 28 to 507 of the family's 1533-position model. The record is from RNAcentral.